GAGGGUAUAGCUCAGUGGUAGAACUCAUGCUUAGCAUGCACAAGGUCCUGGGUUCAAUCCCCAGUACCUCCA
Molecule: transfer RNA, 72 nt
Organism: Camelus ferus (Wild Bactrian camel)
Lineage: Eukaryota; Metazoa; Chordata; Mammalia; Artiodactyla; Camelidae
Rfam family: tRNA
About the family: Transfer RNA (tRNA) molecules are approximately 80 nucleotides in length. Their secondary structure includes four short double-helical elements and three loops (D, anti-codon, and T loops).
Source: Rfam